RNAcentral lists this ribosomal RNA (443 nucleotides) under uncultured bacterium. RNAcentral's name for it is "partial 16S ribosomal RNA". It matches the Rfam family "Bacterial small subunit ribosomal RNA", at positions 338 to 795 of the family's 1533-position model. The record is from RNAcentral.
CCUACGGGUGGCAGCAGUGGGGAAUAUUGGGCAAUGGAGGCAACUCUGACCCAGCAACGCCGCGUGAGCGAUGAAGGUCUUCGGAUUGUUAAGCUCUUUAAGCGGGGACGAAAAAAGGGACUGUACCCGCAGAAUAAGCCUCGGCUAACUACGGGCCAGCAGCCGCGGUAAUACGUAGGAGGCAAGCGUUAGCCGGAAUGACUGGGCGUAAAGGAUGCGUAGGGGGUUUGGCAAGUUGGUAGCGUAAUCCCGGGGCCCAACCUCGGUGCUACCACCAAAACUGUUGAACUUGAGUGCAGGAGGGGUGAAUGGAAUGCCCAGUGUAGCGGUGGAAUGCGUAGAUAUUGGGCAGAACUCCAGCGGCGAAGGCGAUUCACUGGACUGUAACUGACACUGAGGCACGAAAGCGUGGGGAGCAAACAGGAUUAGAUACCCCAGUAGUC